UAAUACGAAGGUGGCAAGCGUUGUUCGGAUUCACUGGGCGUACAGGGUGUGUAGGCGGUUUGGUAAGCCUUCUGUUAAAGCUUCGGGCCCAACCCGGAAAGCGCAGAGGGUACUGCCAGGCUAGAGGGUGGGAGAGGAGCGCGGAAUUCCCGGUGUAGCGGUGAAAUGCGUAGAGAUCGGGAGGAAGGCCGGUGGCGAAGGCGGCGCUCUGGAACAUACCUGACGCUGAGACACGAAAGCGUGGGGAGCAAACAGGAUUAGAUACCCUGGUAGUCCACGCCCUAAACUAUGGAUACUAAGUGUCGGCGGGUUACCGCCGGUGCCGCAGCUAACGCAUUAAGUAUCCCGCCUGGGAAGUACGGCCGCAAGGUUGAAACUCAAAUGAAUUGACGG
Molecule: ribosomal RNA, 393 nt
Filed under: uncultured nitrite-oxidizing bacterium
Lineage: Bacteria
Description: bacterial SSU rRNA
Rfam family: Bacterial small subunit ribosomal RNA
Source: RNAcentral